Molecule: long non-coding RNA, 210 nt
Filed under: Helianthus annuus (common sunflower)
Lineage: Eukaryota; Viridiplantae; Streptophyta; Magnoliopsida; Asterales; Asteraceae
Description: hypothetical non coding rna
Source: RNAcentral
AUGAGUAUGUUAUCUGCAGUGGUUGCAAGAGCCUGGAUAAAACGCCUGGAUACAAUUCUUUUAAAGGAGAGUCGUCUUUUCUUCCUCAGAUAUCAUGAGAAGCUUUGGAGCUAAAUUUAAAGAUAGUGAAAUUCUAGCCCAAAAGAACGUUUAGGUUCUCCGUGUAAACAUUUAGAAGUUGGAAUAUCUUACUUAUUACAUAAUGUCUUG